Molecule: long non-coding RNA, 2067 nt
Organism: Macadamia integrifolia
Lineage: Eukaryota; Viridiplantae; Streptophyta; Magnoliopsida; Proteales; Proteaceae
Exons: 2
Source: RefSeq, a predicted model, not a curated record
CAUUCGUCCAUGGUCUGUCCAGGCCAAUCGGCUUCUCCUUCUUCUUCACCUGUUUCUAGGUUAUACUUUCUACAUAGAGGAGUUGCUUGUUCCAUUAACCUAUUGGAGCAUAUACUCUUUCUCUUUCGGGGAAAACCAUUAAUCCUUUCUUCUCUGGGAUUGAGUUCAGUGCAGCAUGGGCUGCAUGGGAUUGGGUGGGCUGUUUGGAAUGUCUGCUUUGCUUCAGACAUUGAAGGGAAUCCUGAUGGGUUAAUUAGUUCUUGCAUGGAAAUGAUAUAGAAGGAUCUAUCCUUUUUAACUUAUUCAUCAUGGGUCUUGCAUGUGGGAAUGAGGUUUAGUAGUGCAGCCAAGGAUGACUUGCCGGCAAGCUUUCAUAUCCACUGCAUCCAUCUGUCAAGGGUAGCAUAUAUGGAAGGUACUCGGCAAGUUGUCAUUGGCUAUGUUGCUUCCUCCUUCUCUCAUGCUUGAUCUGUGAUGAUGAUGACAAAGAGGAAGAUGACCAAACAGUACUGGUUGGUGGUAUGGAUUGGAUGACUAUGGAGAGUUUUUGAACUUUGCUGAUAUUCUCAAUGGUAAUCAAGUCCCUGAAGAGCUUCUUGAUCUUCUCCUUGAUGAUCUGAUUUUCUAUGAUUUCUCAAGUUUCUAAAAAUAAUUUGGAACCCCUCCCUGGUCAGGAAUCAUGGUUCAGAAGAUGGGUUGUGUGUGUGUGAAGCUAAGCUAGAAUUUAAGAUCACUUCUUGAUGAUAAGACUAAGAAACAGAACAAGUUUUUCUUAGGCUAGAAACCAGAAACCAGCAGCAAUUAUUUCUAUUAAUUGAAUAUCAGGAGAAGAACUGUUUUAACAGUGUUUAUGAUAAAGUUUGCUGUAAGAAACCAACAAAUUUUUGUAUACAAUUUCCUUUUCAAAAGAAAAACUCUGUUCUGAAAAGAACCCCUCUCCACUAUAUAUACGUUUUAAUGGUACCCAUUUAAUUAAUUGAAUGGGACAUUGUAUUAAAAUCUUUUAUUGAGGUAAGUAAGAUCUUUCUCUUGAUGACAUAUUCAACUGUCCAAGAUUCUUGAACCAGAAAUUGACUUGCCCAUAGUUACUAUGUCAUUUAAGGGCCUGGAAAUCCAGGUUCAAUUCUUUACAGUUGAUCAAUAGCAUUCCUUUUUGUCCAUGGAUAAAUUGUUUCAAGAAGGGUGAGCAAGCCAGUGACGAUCGCAACAUGUUGGUCAUAGGUUUAAAACUUGAAAACAGCCUCUUCCACGAAGUAGGACUGUGUACAUUUGUCCUUACAUGACCCAACAUUAGCGGGAGCCUCACACACCUCGGCAUUCAUUAGAUAAAGGGAUUGUGGAUAGAGUAGGACAAAACUAUAGCAGAUGGCUAAAUAGAAUAUUAAUGAAAUUGCUUUCCAGUAUCCAAAAAUUUUCAAAGUAUGAUGCCACACACAUUUAAGACUUGAUGAGAAAUGAUAGAAUGUGAAGAACAGUACUGUAAAUUGUGUCUCCAGGCUUAAGGGCAGGAGGUAUUACUAUAAUUUUUUGGGAAGCAGGACCAUGUAAUUCUCCUUUAUCCUUUUGUAUCAAAGCCCAACCAAAACUGAGUAUUUUCAAGUUGUACCAGUUGUAAUAUAUCAUAUAUUAAGGAGAAAGCUUUCCUUCACCCAACUGUGAUCUUGCUUUAUUACUCCUCCCCUUUUGACAAAGGUUCAAAAUGCCUUUCCACUAUUUCAGGAUUUCGAUUCGAUGGUCAAAAGUGGUGGAUGAAAAGAUUCUCUUUGCCGUGGAGGAAAAUUCAGUCAUAUGUUUUUUUUUUAAUUCCCCAUAAAAUGCUGUAAGCAUAAUAUGUUCAUGUUCACCAGAGCAGAUCACCAAGUCAGUCUCUCUGCUAUUGGAGUCUGGAUUAUUGUAGUUGUUGGUAAUUAAAAGAUACACAUUGUCCUGCAAUUGAUCAUGCAAGUUUUUAAUAUGACAUGGGGAGAAAUGGACAGCAUAGUACUGGUCAAUCACUCUAUUCUAUAUUCUCAUCAAACAAAUGUAUCUUGGGUUGAAGAACUCAAAAAGGAAAUUCAAAGUCCCCAA